AUUAAUAAAAAUUAAAAGAAACAGCCAAUCAAAUCUUUCUUUCACAAGUAUAUUUAAGAAAAUAGGAAAUUAAAGAUAAUCGGUUAUUUAUUUAUUUACAAGCUUAACACUGAGAAAGAAAUCAACCUUAAACUCUAAUAUAUUGGUCCCUCCACACAUAAAAUCCUGGCUCCACCACUGCACGCAGCCACCACAACCUCCACAACCACCAUCCCCACCACCACCACUAUCACAACCACAACCACUAACUCCACAUUCAUCACCACCACCACUUUCACCUCCAUCUCUUUGACCAUGACCUCCACUCCACCAGCACGACCACUACCACCACACGAUUAGCACAUAACACUUUCAACAUCAUCAUCAUGUCUAUUUUAAUCAUUA
RNAcentral lists this long non-coding RNA (384 nucleotides) under Prunus persica (peach). RNAcentral describes it as "long non-coding RNA (PPER_LNC003644)". Lineage: Eukaryota; Viridiplantae; Streptophyta; Magnoliopsida; Rosales; Rosaceae. The record is from RNAcentral.